GUGGGGGAUAUUGCACAAUGGGGGAAACCCUGAUGCAGCGACGCCGCGUGUGGGAAGACGGUCCUCUGGAUUGUAACCCACUGUCCCCAGGGACGAAGAUGACGGUACCUGGGGAGGAAGCUCCGGCCAACUCGGUGCCAGAAGCCGCGGUAAUACGUAGGGAGCGAGCGUUGUCCGGAAUUACUGGGUGUAAAGGGAGCGUAGGCGGGAUGGCAAGUUGGGUGUUAAAUCUACCGGCUCAACCGGUAGCCGCACUCAAAACUGCCGUUCUUGAGUGAAGUAGAGGCAGGCGGAAUUCCUAGUGUAGCGGUGAAAUGCGUAGAUAUUAGGAGGAACACCAGUGGCGAAGGCGGCCUGCUGGGCUUUUACUGACGCUGAGGCUCGAAAGUGUGGGGAGCAAACAGG
RNAcentral lists this ribosomal RNA (405 nucleotides) under uncultured bacterium. RNAcentral describes it as "bacterial SSU rRNA". It matches the Rfam family "Bacterial small subunit ribosomal RNA", at positions 354 to 776 of the family's 1533-position model. The record is from RNAcentral.